AUUAAAUAGAUUUUGCUAAAAGGAUUAAAUAGCUCAAGUGUUAAAAGAAGGUAGAUUUAAAGGGAAAUAAGGGCAAAAUUGGAAAUUUUACAACUUUAACAUAUAAAAUAAGAAUAAAAUUGAAGAAUCUAAAGAUCUCUUCAUAUUUUAUCAGCCAAAACGCCAUAGAAGGUCUGGAGAAAGCUGGUUUUUCAUAUUUUACAUCAUAUCAAGAAAACGAACUGAAUCGUGGAAAGGAGAAAAUUCAAGAAUAGUCCCUGAAUUUCUACGACUUUUGCAAAUUAGUCCAGAUUGAAUUAAAGAGAAGUUGGUAGAUCGGAUCAACACAACAGGGGACACUAUUCAGAUCAAUUCCGGUAGUUUUUGUUUUAUGUUUAAAGAUUUAUAUGGCAUGUAUAGAGUUUGAAUGAAUUGAAGUAAAGAUGUUAUAAACUAGUUAACAAUAUUUGUACUAAAACAGUUUUUGGUAA
This is a long non-coding RNA of Gossypium arboreum, 470 nucleotides long. RefSeq lists it as uncharacterized. The record is from RefSeq and is a predicted model, not a curated record. Lineage: Eukaryota; Viridiplantae; Streptophyta; Magnoliopsida; Malvales; Malvaceae. The transcript is spliced from 2 exons.